Molecule: ribosomal RNA, 745 nt
Filed under: uncultured bacterium
Lineage: Bacteria
Description: bacterial SSU rRNA
Rfam family: Bacterial small subunit ribosomal RNA
Source: RNAcentral
ACGCUGGCGGCAGGCCUAACACAUGCAAGUCGAGCGGUAGAGAGAAGCUUGCUUCUCUUGAGAGCGGCGGACGGGUGAGUAAUGCCUAGGAAUCUGCCUGGUAGUGGGGGAUAACGUUCGGAAACGGACGCUAAUACCGCAUACGUCCUACGGGAGAAAGCAGGGGACCUUCGGGCCUUGCGCUAUCAGAUGAGCCUAGGUCGGAUUAGCUAGUUGGUGGGGUAAUGGCUCACCAAGGCGACGAUCCGUAACUGGUCUGAGAGGAUGAUCAGUCACACUGGAACUGAGACACGGUCCAGACUCCUACGGGAGGCAGCAGUGGGGAAUAUUGGACAAUGGGCGAAAGCCUGAUCCAGCCAUGCCGCGUGUGUGAAGAAGGUCUUCGGAUUGUAAAGCACUUUAAGUUGGGAGGAAGGGUUGUAGAUUAAUACUCUGCAAUUUUGACGUUACCGACAGAAUAAGCACCAGCUAACUCUGUGCCAGCAGCCGCGGUAAUACAGAGGGUGCAAGCGUUAAUCGGAAUUACUGGGCGUAAAGCGCGCGUAGGUGGUUUGUUAAGUUGGAUGUGAAAUCCCCGGGCUCAACCUGGGAACUGCAUUCAAAACUGACUGACUAGAGUAUGGUAGAGGGUGGUGGAAUUUCCUGUGUAGCGGUGAAAUGCGUAGAUAUAGGAAGGAACACCAGUGGCGAAGGCGACCACCUGGACUAAUACUGACACUGAGGUGCGAAAGCGUGGGGAGCAAAC